GUGACAUUUGCAGCGUGAGCUCCCUCUGCAGAAUGUACUUCAGGAAGCUCCUGAACCCUCUGCUGACCGACCAACUGUAUGAGAAGUUCUCAGUAAGCACAAGGCGAUGUCUUUCAUUUCCCUCUUCCCUGGGCCUCUUGGCAUGGCCUGUCACCAAAGCGAGUCUGCCUGUGUCAGAGGAAGAGCUGCCUUCAUGGAGGCAAGAUGUGGAAUUCAUCUUGAACCACACAGAUGUCCUCUUCAGCUCCAAAUCCAGCUCAGUCAUUGGAGAUGGAGCAGAAGAACUUCACCCAACGAGAUGAAGAAAUCACCAGCUGGCAGUUGUCAUUCCUGCUUCAGCCUGGGAAAUCCAUCCUCUGUGGCCAAAUGCAAACUGCAGCACAAUUCCAGGAGGCCUCAGAAAUGGAAGUCAUAGUCCUGGCAGGUGAAUCUAACCAGCUCCAACCCAAAAGACCCAGACCCAGUAGCGGUGCUCUCAAGAAGCAUGAAUUGCUGCACUUGUGAUGGCAACCUUCCAUAAGACAACAGUGAUGGGGAGAAGGAGCUCAUCCACUUGGACAGUCUGCUGCAUAUGAGCCAGCAGUGUGCCCAGGUGGCCAAGGCGGCCAGCAGCAUCCUGGCUUGGAUCCGUAAUGAUGUGGUGAGCACCACUGGAAAAGUCAUCCUGCCCCUGUACUGCGCACUGGUGAGGCCUCACCUCGAGUGCUGUGUUCAGUUUUGGGCACCUUGGUACAGAAGGGAAACCGAGGUACUGGAGCAGGUCCAAAGAAGGGCUACAAAGCUGAUGAAGGGCUUGUGAAGGGCCUGGGGCCCCCAGCACAAGAAAGACGCAGAGCUCUUGGACCGGGUCCAGAGGAGGGCCACUAAGAUGACCACAGGGCUUUCUUCUCCUCUGAAGAAAGGUUGGGGGAACUGGGCUUGUUCAGCUUGGAGAAGAGAAGGCUCCAGAGAGACCUCAUGGUGGCCUUCCAAUACUUGAAGGGAGCACAUAAACAGGAGGGGGAAUGACAUGGGUUGAUAGCGAUAGGACAAGGGGG
RNAcentral lists this long non-coding RNA (1037 nucleotides) under Gallus gallus (chicken). RNAcentral's name for it is "lncRNA (ENSGALG00010025772.1)". The record is from RNAcentral. Lineage: Eukaryota; Metazoa; Chordata; Aves; Galliformes; Phasianidae.